AGCCUUCUGUAUACAUGCUGAGAUUUCGUCACACACCAGACCACAAAGACUGAUGAGACCCCUAAUAUAGAUGAAGUG
Schistosoma curassoni is the source of this 78-nucleotide non-coding RNA. NCBI's taxonomy places the organism in Eukaryota, Metazoa, Platyhelminthes, Trematoda, Strigeidida, Schistosomatidae. The record is from Rfam.